Molecule: ribosomal RNA, 433 nt
Filed under: uncultured bacterium
Lineage: Bacteria
Description: partial 16S ribosomal RNA
Rfam family: Bacterial small subunit ribosomal RNA
Source: RNAcentral
AACGAACGCUGGCGGCAUGCCUAACACAUGCAAGUCGAACGAGACCUUCGGGUCUAGUGGCGCACGGGUGCGUAACGCGUGGGAACCUGCCCUUAGGUUCGGAAUAACUCCCCGAAAGGGGUGCCAAUACCGGAUAAUGUCUUCGGACCAAAGAUUUAUCGCCUUUGGAUGGGCCCGCGUUGGAUUAGCUAGUUGUUAGGGUAAAAGCCUACCAAGGCGACGAUCCAUAGCUGGUCUGAGAGGAUGAUCAGCCACACUGAGACUGAGACACGGCCCAGACUCCUACGGGAGGCAGCAGUGGGGAAUAUUGGACAAUGGGCGAAAGCCUGAUCCAGCAAUGCCGCGUGAGUGAUGAAGGCCUUAGGGUUGUAAAGCUCUUUUACCCAGGAUGAUAAUGACAGUACCGGGAGAAUAAGCUCCGGCUAACUCCGUG